Drosophila montana is the source of this 783-nucleotide long non-coding RNA. RefSeq lists it as uncharacterized. The transcript has 2 exons. The record is from RefSeq and is a predicted model, not a curated record. Lineage: Eukaryota; Metazoa; Arthropoda; Insecta; Diptera; Drosophilidae.
UUAGGUUAGAUGCGCAUCGGGGCGUUAAAUUGUCUCCACCAGCGACGCAAAUGCGACCCAGCCGAAUCGCUCCUAUAAAAGCAGCUGCCAGUGUUCCACACGCCCGACAAUUGUGCUCCAACCUGGGGCCGAGCUGGAGGCGCCGCGUCCUCGAUGCGGCGGCGGCGGCGGCAGCCGCGAGUCUACCAGGACUACCCUACUAGCAAGGAAGAUGUGAGUCGCCGCUAUGGAAAAUUGAAAAAAUCAAAUCAAAUAAAAUUCGUUAAACUUUGUGUUCCUUGAAGGAAAUUAAGCACAGCUACAGUUGCAACCAUUUGUUAACCGGCCCAAAAUGGAUGUACGUAAACUACUUAACCCCAUAUUUUACAUAUAUGCAUCAUAAUAUAUAUAUACAUAUGUAUAACUACGCUAACUCAGCGAUCGUAUACCAAAGUUAAAUGUUGCUGUUGUUUGGGAUCGUAUUGUCAACAGAAUAUAUAUUAUUGUCAAGAUUCGACUAGCAAUCGACACUAUUACUCAAUAUCUAUACCAUAUUACUAUAUAUAUAUAUAUAUAUAUGAUAUAUGUAUUCGUUCAACUUAUUUGGCUAUUGUUACUAUUAUAACUAUGUAUGUCAUGCCUGUAAAGACAACAUACAAGAAGCACAUAUGAUAAUAUACUUACACAAUAUAUAAACGUGUCCAUGUUCGGCACAGGUAUUCUAUAAGCACAGAAACCACUCAAAACCUAUACUCGUAAAUCGCAAAAUAAACUCCUAUUAUCCAUAUGUUGAGCAAACGAAAA